UACGUAGGUGGCAAGCGUUGUCCGGAUUUAUUGGGUUUAAAGGGUACGUAGGCGGCCCUAUAAGUCAGUGCUGAAAUAUCCCGGCUUAACCGGGAAGGUGGCAUUGAUACUGUAGGGCUUGAGUGAAGUCGAGGUAGGCGGAAUUGACGGUGUAGCGGUGAAAUGCUUAGAUAUCGUCAAGAACACCGAUAGUGAAGACAGCUUACUAGACUUCAACUGACGCUGAGGCACGAAAGUGUGGGGAUCAAACAGG
Molecule: ribosomal RNA, 253 nt
Filed under: uncultured bacterium
Lineage: Bacteria
Description: partial 16S ribosomal RNA
Rfam family: Bacterial small subunit ribosomal RNA
Source: RNAcentral